CCCCGCCAGCUGCCGACCGGAGGUGGAGGCAAACUUAAAAGAAAAAGCUAAGGGCAGGGGUCUUUCAGUCAAACAUCAUUCUCAGAUCUCGGAAGUGUGUUUAGAUGGGAGCAGUACUGGACUUACUCAGUUUGGUUCCAGAAAGUGAAACUGAAACCGGUGAGAACCAGAUGAACACAGCUUCAGGUCCAAGUGAAAGAAAACUUCUACAUUAACUGCCAUCCACUGGAGUAGGUCCCAUCUUGAGGUGGUGAGCAUCUAGUUAGCAGAACCUGUGUUCGUCAGAGCUACUGACACUACCUUCGGCUGGCAGCCCAUAUAAAAGACAUGAAAGAAGGAAAUUCUCUCUCUUUGCCUGCUUGCCAUCACUCUCAUUGGCAGGUCAAUUCUGUCACUGGCAUUAGAGCCUAAUUCUUGGUGAUUCCAGCAUAUACUGAAGACCAACUGAGAUAUCCAGCCUUGUGGGCUGGGCAACUACUGGAUUCUUGAGCCUUCGGUUGAUAGACAGCCAUUGUUAGACUAGCUGGGUCACAGCCUUCUCUCUGUGUUGCCCAGAUUGGAUGCUUCCAGGCUACAGGAAUCUUUCUUCCUCCUCUUCCAAACUUCUGGGACUAGAGGAAAGCAUCACUGUGCUAGCCUAGGAUGUUUCCUUCGGGACUGAAACAUUCCAUCCAGAAGGGAAGCGCCUAAACAGAAAGAUAAACAACUCAAAUGGCUUCAGGAAGUCCUUGAAACUGACCAGAUUCGCUAUCCUGCCCUCUUUAUUGAGUAAGCAAUAAAAGCUGAGAGUUCCUCUCAGACUAGCAGAGCUGCAAAGAAAACCACCAGAUUAGCCAAAUUGAAAAGAAGACUCCACAAGCAGACCAGCUGAGCUGCCUAGAAGAGGUUUAAUACCAACUGAGAGUGAAAAGGAUGCCCUCCAACACACUGAGCUGCCUGCAGUGUGCUCCACAUCCCCAGCUUUUGUGAGCUGUCACCCAUGCUGGGGUGGACUUUGGUGAUACACCUGUCUUUGAGUCAUUUCUACUCCCGUAAGUAACCCCUCACCCAUAAGUGACUCCAGGAAAACUUAUUAAUUCACCAAGUUGGACUUUGGUAGUACCUGUACUUUGAUCUCUCAUAGUCUCCCUGUCUGGGGUGAGUGGACAAGCGUUUUGUCUCCUCAGGAAAAGUUUUGUCACAUAACACUAUCUCACUGGUUUUGAGCAAGGGAAGCUCAUUUGUUAUAUGGCUGCUUUGUUAUUUUGUUGUUGUUUGUAUUUUUGUAUUUGGGGCUUUGAGACAGGGUCACGUUUCUCAGAUCUGCCUCCACCUCUCAAAUUCUAGGAUUACAAACACAUGCAUCACCAUGCUGGGUCUGGAGCAGCAUCUUUGAAAGGACUAUUAUAAUUUCUUGCAAAUCUAGAAGGUACAGCUGAGAACUUUAUGCUAGUAUUAUUCCCCCAAAUAUUUCAUUAAACACUGAUUUCAAGGCUAGACACAAUACCUGCCGCCUGUCGCUCUCCAAAGGCAAAUGCUCCAUGCUGCUGCCCCCCAGAGGCCAUUGUGCCUAAUAGCAGCCCACACUGUGACUCCUGAAGAGGUAAAUUAAGAGUGGCUCUAGCGGCUUGUAGAAACCUAUAGAAAAGCCCUAAGAGAAUCGAGACCACUGGAACUGGAGUUGCAGAUAGUUGUGGACACUGGGAACUGAACCCAGGCCUUCUACAAGAAUAUCAAGUGCUCUUAGUCAGUGGGCCUUCUCUCCAGUGCCACAAUUGCAUCUUUUUGUUGUUGUUUGUUUUGUUUUUGCAGCUAACCGUGUCCUAACUGGGUAUGGUUCCUUUUAAAAGCAAGACUUCAAAUGAGAUAAUGUGUGUAAAGUAUUAAAUGAGCUUUAACUGGUAUUUGCUAUUGUGUUUAUUAUCACAUACACUAGGCUUGUUUACUUAGGAGACCCUUAAGGGCUUCAGUGGUUCUAGAACGUUGUUUAGAUCAUGCUGCCCUAAAGUACCCCAUACUAUGUAAAAUGAUGAGUCUUCAGACUGGG
RNAcentral lists this long non-coding RNA (2026 nucleotides) under Cricetulus griseus (Chinese hamster). RNAcentral describes it as "lncRNA (ENSCGRG00015035390.1)". The record is from RNAcentral. Lineage: Eukaryota; Metazoa; Chordata; Mammalia; Rodentia; Cricetidae.